CCCUGCUCCUUACAAAGAAUGUUCUGACUCCGCCGCACAGGUGCCGAGAAGGAACCCCCCAGUCAGUGCAUCUGACCAGCACGCCCCGAAGAUCUCCCGACCUCCAUCCUUAAAUUCCCACCGGUGCCACCUUCCCCCAAACCCAGAAGGCCUCUCGGCAAAAACCUGCACCGUCAUCCUGACCUGUGGGUAAUCAGGAAAUCAAAAACAAACUCGCCUCAUCAGGAAAACGCUGGGCACCUACCUGCCCUGGGAAAUCUGUAUGCAAAUUCAGGCAGAUCUGCAGCCUUUGGCGCUUCCGGCUUGGUCUCAAGCCAGGUCCCGAGCUCCGAUAUUGCGAAGCAAAGCUUCUCACAGCCAGGGCACUCCUCCGUGGUCUCCGUGUAAGUCGCCUGGUCUCUGGCCACACCCAGUGCCUAUGUGCGUGGGGACAUGAAGCCCACAUCAUGCUGUCACUUCACGCUUAGCGUCACUCCACAAGGCCGGCUUGUGUUACGGUGCAAACCACCCCUGACUCUGGGGGGCUCGCUGUGAGCCGCGGUGUCCUUAGCUCGUGCUGAGUGCCCGUCGCGUCCGCUCCAGCCCUGCCCCAGGAGGUGACCCAGGCAGAGUCUAGCGUCAGGGAACACCAGAAGCUGGAAGGGGCAGGGAAGGGGGGAGCUUCGGAGCGGGGUGCAGCCCUGUGACACCCUGAUUGCUGACUUCGGGCUUCCAGAACUGUGAGAAA
This 727-nucleotide long non-coding RNA is filed under the name Mustela putorius furo (domestic ferret). RNAcentral describes it as "lncRNA (ENSMPUG00000028873.1)". Lineage: Eukaryota; Metazoa; Chordata; Mammalia; Carnivora; Mustelidae. The record is from RNAcentral.